UCGGGUCAGCUACGACAUGAGCG
Molecule: microRNA, 23 nt
Filed under: Nematostella vectensis (starlet sea anemone)
Lineage: Eukaryota; Metazoa; Cnidaria; Anthozoa; Actiniaria; Edwardsiidae
Description: nve-miR-2040a-5p
Source: miRBase by way of RNAcentral